RNAcentral lists this ribosomal RNA (240 nucleotides) under uncultured bacterium. RNAcentral describes it as "partial 16S ribosomal RNA". It matches the Rfam family "Bacterial small subunit ribosomal RNA", at positions 15 to 245 of the family's 1533-position model. The record is from RNAcentral.
GAUCCUGGCUUAGGAUGAACGCUAGCGACAGGCUUAACACAUGCAAGUCGAGGGGCAGCAUAAUUUGUAGCAAUACAGAUUGAUGGCGACCGGCGCACGGGUGAGUAACGCGUAUGCAACUUACCUAUCAGAGGGGGAUAGCCCGGCGAAAGUCGGAUUAAUACCCCAUAAAACAGGGGUCCCGCAUGGGAAUAUUUGUUAAAAAUUCAUCGCUGAUAGAUAGGCAUGCGUUCCAUUAGG